GCUAUUUUUGUAUUUAUCUUUAUUUUAAAUUAUAUUGUGAAUUAUAUCAUAUGAUAAUGAGCUAGCGGUGCGUUAUCUGCGUCGCCGGUGCGGGUAAAUUUUAACACGGCCGCCCGUUUUUAUAUUGACGUUUCGAAACCUCCAUCGCGUUACGUUAAAAAUAUUAUUGUAAUUUCCGUGUGUGAUUUAAUAUUUUUUCUUCUUCUCGUGUCAACCACCGUCCGGGAAUGUUAAUGAAUUAUGUUGUUUUUACAAUUUUUUAGUGUGUGUGCUAAUCGUGAUUCAUUAUUGUUAUUUUUACGUGUGCUAAUCGUCGUAAUUGUUACUUGAUUAAACAUAUUUUUUAUUGUAGGCGCUAAUCGCCAUAUUAUAUUAGAGUGUAUUUAUUUAUUAUUUGUAUAGGCGCGAAUCGCCGUUAGAUUUGUAUUUAUUUAUUUUAGAAUUUAGGUAGCGGCUGGCCAGUCUGCGCUCCACAAAUUAAAUAGUCUGAGAGUUUCAAAAAUAAGAAAUUUAAAGCCAGUUUUUGAAAAAAAAAUUCUGGAAGGGGUGGGAAUAUCCCUCGGACCCUUUUCACCAGGGAGUAUUCCUUACCACCCGAUAGAUCUUGCCACCUCAGUUUAAAAGGUGAAAUGACGCCCCUGCCAAUACACCACUGGUUAAAGGUAAUAGAUAUAUAAUA
Molecule: unclassified non-coding RNA, 679 nt
Filed under: Sipha flava (yellow sugarcane aphid)
Lineage: Eukaryota; Metazoa; Arthropoda; Insecta; Hemiptera; Aphididae
Description: zinc finger MYM-type protein 1-like, transcript variant X4
Source: RNAcentral